RNAcentral lists this ribosomal RNA (293 nucleotides) under uncultured bacterium. Its description in RNAcentral is "partial 16S ribosomal RNA". It matches the Rfam family "Bacterial small subunit ribosomal RNA", at positions 29 to 334 of the family's 1533-position model. The record is from RNAcentral.
AACGAACGCUGGCGGUAUGCUUAACACAUGCAAGUCGAACGAGGUUUUGAGAGCUUGCUCUUAAAACCUAGUGGCAAACGGGUGAGUAACACGUGGGAAUCUACCCAUCAGUACGGAAUAACAGUUGGAAACAACUGCUAAUACCGUAUAUUCUCUUCGGAGGAAAGAUUUUAUCGCUGAUGGAUGAGCCCGCGUUAGAUUAGGUAGUUGGUAGGGUAAUGGCCUACCAAGCCGACGAUCUAUAGCUGGUCUGAGAGGAUGAUCAGCCACACUGGAACUUAGACACGGUCCAG